Molecule: long non-coding RNA, 1401 nt
Organism: Mus musculus (house mouse)
Lineage: Eukaryota; Metazoa; Chordata; Mammalia; Rodentia; Muridae
Exons: 4
Source: RefSeq, a predicted model, not a curated record
CUCCGAGUUAUCUCUCUGAUCUCAACCCUAACCUUUUUAAAUGAUCAGCUGGGAAGGAAGAAGAUAUCAGAGUUUUGAACUAGAAGGAGCAAGCUUCAAGGACAAGUGUUAAAAUGAGAAUUCUUUGAAUCAGUUCUUGGGAAAUUAAGCUAGGGAACAGAUAAUGGUAGAUCCUAAGGAUGACUUCUGGGCAUGAGAAACCAAGAAUUUGUGAAGGGAAAACAAGAACCAGACAUGAGGAGAUAAAGACUUGAGCAGCUGGAGUAUUGGAUCAUUUGCCUGCUAUCCCAGCACUUGAAAGCAUCCAGGACCAUGGAAAGAACUGAGGUGGGAGAAAACGGACUUGGAAGGCUUCCAGGAAGCAAUGGGGAAACCAAUGGAUGACAGUAUCAGAAAGGUGUGCAGGGUACUUCCUGGGCCAUUGCAAGGGCAUUUGCUGCUGGAGAGUCAUCUUUUACCACUAGCAAAAGAAACGGAAUUCACAUCAGAGAAAACCCCCUCUCAGAUUCCAGCCCCAGAGAACCACAGAUCAUCGGUUACACAGCUAAGUUUGACCGGCGCAGAAAUGCCAUAUAAAUGAAGACAUAAAGUGUACUUUUUUUUGGUGUAUGGCUUUGUUUGCAUCCCUGUACUCUUGGGACCUGUUCCUGCAGGCUGGUUUUCUAACUUACAGAAUGAGAAUGAGCAUUCCAGAUAAGAGCAACAGUUGUGCAGAGUAAAUGUAAGGCACCCAUUCUUCAAAAAUGAUACUGUCCCCGACUGGCUAUAGCCUCGGCUGUGAUCCACUUCCGAAUUCUGUGAGAUGCCUCUUGUUCUCAAGACCAUGGUGAAAUUGCUGAAGCCCUGUGUUGCCUCGCUGUCAGUGUCACACCUUAGCAAGCAGCUCUGCCUGGAUUCUCUGCACUUGCCUUUGGUUGGUUGGAGGUGUGUGGGCGGGGUUGGGGGCGGUCUCUUGCUCUAGCUACCUUCAGAAGCUUCAAAAACUUUAUGAAGCCACACCCGACUUUUCCUACUCUGCUGCUCAAUUAUCAGAUCCCAGCUUCUCUGGUUCUGACUUACUAGGGUGCCAGGACAGUUACAAGUCUGAGAGACUGCAGACAAUCUAACUCUUCCUGGUCUUUCCAGGCACCGCCCCCGCUUAGGGUUAAGGGACCACUUCCUUCCUAUCCUAACCAGCCAGCUGGCCUUAGACAGCUCUGAGCCCUUCGCUGAAACAGACCCUUCCACCUUCUUUCCUUAGAAGGCAGCAGGAGUCCCAGGUUUCUGGGGACUUGGGCUGUCUUUGCUCCUCCCCUCUGGGGCAGAGACUGGGGGUGGAGGGCAGUGCUUUAGUGCAGUGUUGUCAUAGUUAAGCAAUUUCACUUUCCUUUUUCUCCUCUUUGGAGGCCCCUGAAGGAGUUC